GGCAGUAGUCUCUCCUUUUUCCCCCUAUCUAGACAGUGGAAGAAACCCAGAUCUACUCGGAGGCGGAGCUCCAGCGCUUUGAGGCAGAGCUCAGGGCCCAAGAGGAGGAGUUAAGCCGACGAGCAGAGCAGCUUCACCAGGAGCACCAAGAGCUUAAGCAGCGGCAGGUGGAACUUGAUGCUCAGAAGAAGGAGUAUCAACAGGUUGUGCUUCAAAUGGAACAGAGAAAAUCUCAACAACAACUUGAGCAAGUGCCCCAGGUUGGCCCCGGGGGAGAACUGAAGUUCCAGGCCCAGCCACCUCAUGCGGCCCCAGCAGAUCAUGCUUCUCCACCUCAGUCCCAUCCAGGAUCCCCCGGAGCACCAGAGCAUGAUGCUCAGAAAGACCCAGUAGAAGCUCUUCAGAACCAACCACACCCAGAUGCUGCCGUCCAAUAGAACAGUGCUAUGGCAUACACAGAGGGGACUGCGUAUUCUUCUUUUCUCAUAGUCAGGGCAUCAGAAUCAGAAUUCACCCCAGGACAGUGGAGGAGGGACCUUUCAGGGCAUUGUUUACAGAAGGAGAAGGCUUGUUGGUUGUCCUACCCCCAGCCCAGUCUCCACCUGUUCCUCCACUUUUUCCAAGCAAGCAGACUCUUUUUUACGAAACAGAUGGCUGUGGUUCUCUUGGGGAUACCUUGGCAGAGGGAAGUAAUUAGGGGAGAUAAUAAGGAUAGCUUUGCUAUUUAGAAGGAUGGGGUAGGCAAAAGAGGAAAGAAAGCAAAGUUUGGCCAUCCUGAUAUUCUCGGGUAAUUUUAGCCAUCCUGACAUUCUCGGGUAAUUUUGUCCUACAAUUUCAGAAAUGCUUAUGGGUAAAUAAAAGGGAAGAUAAGUGAACAUUAUACCUCUUAACUAGUGUAUUGUGCUCUCCCCUCUUUCCUCUGUAUCCACGAUUGGCUUCUUAUGAUAGAAUUACAGUAUUGCACCAUUUUGCAAAAUGUGUGUUGAGAGCUGCUGGAUUUUGUUUUGAAACAAUUUGAGUCCUUUUAUUUAAUAAAUUGAACCCCUUGAAGCC
Python bivittatus (Burmese python) is the source of this 1053-nucleotide non-coding RNA. The record is from RefSeq and is a predicted model, not a curated record. NCBI's taxonomy places the organism in Eukaryota, Metazoa, Chordata, Lepidosauria, Squamata, Pythonidae.